UACGUAGGGUGCAAGCGUUGUCCGGAAUUAUUGGGCGUAAAGAGCUCGUAGGCGGUUUGUUGCGUCGGCUGUGAAAUCCCGAGGCUCAACCUCGGGUCUGCAGUCGAUACGAGCAAACUAGAGUGUUGCAGGGGAGACUGGAAUUCCUGGUGUAGCGGUGAAAUGCGCAGAUAUCGAGGAGGAACACCGGUGGCGAAGGCGGGUCUCUGGGCAACAACUGACGCUGGAGGAGCGAAAGCCGUGGGGAGCGAACAGG
This 256-nucleotide ribosomal RNA is filed under the name uncultured bacterium. RNAcentral describes it as "partial 16S ribosomal RNA". It matches the Rfam family "Bacterial small subunit ribosomal RNA", at positions 524 to 776 of the family's 1533-position model. The record is from RNAcentral.